GAUCGAAAACUACUUACACCUAUCUAAAUUUUAUCUAUAAUAAUUUUUAUGAAGAACAAAAAACAAAACUCUCUCAAAUCACAUCAUAAAUAAGUUUAUGUUAGUUAUAAAAUUUUUGACAAUUUAUUUAAGAGACCUAUCUUCAUCACCUACCCAACAAUGUGGUCGUUGAUCUAUCACUAUCCUAGAAAAGGACUUCACACCCUCACCCAACACUUCUCUUUCAUGCACGAAGACCCACUAAUUCAAUGCCUACUUCUAUCUCCAACAUUACUAUCAAAUUAUUAUUACAUAUAUAAAUAAAAAUUUAAAUUCAAAUCAGAUUUUCAAAAUUGAUUAUAUCUUUAUAAUUGAAGGAAUUACAAAAUGAAUGUACCUUCAAGUCGGAACGUAAUUUGAUCGAUCAAAAGUGACGAUAAUCGCACUUGUAGAUAUAUAAUUCCAACAUUCCUAAUUUAUUAUUAGAGAUAUAAUAUACUAUUAUUUUUUUAUAUAAUAUUUGUUUUUUGAAGUAAAAUAUGAUCUAACAUUUUGCCAUCAAUUACUGCAUAAAACAACAACAACAACAACAAAGAAUUCGAUCAAAAAUCCUAUACUCAGAAACAAAACCAGCGUCUUUUCUCUAUCAAUUCUCCAUGAAACAACGCCAACAUGAUCACAAUGCUACAACGUAAAUACAUACCAAAGCACAACCGCUGCAGAAGGAAGAAAGAAGAGAUGACUGUGAACGAAACACAUCAAUCAGCUGUGAUGCUAACACACCUCUUCUUUCCGAGCAGCUUCCCUUCUCCGGUCCCAGACAUAGCUUCCGCUUGCACUUCAACACCCGCCUCGUCUCCCUCGGCGCGGGCGGGCAGCUCGGUGCAACAGACGGAAGCUUACUCUCUUCGGAGGUCGGCGUGCGGAACGCCUCCUCGUCAUCCUUGGAUGGUAGCGUCGCGCUUCCACGUUCCUCGUUCGAACGCAAGGCUUGCCGCCGGGGCUCGUCUUCUUCUAUAUGAGUAACCGAUAUCAUUAAAUUUGAAAGGUUUAUUCUAUAUGACUUGUUGAUGUGCACGAGGAAGAACGCAAGGCUUGUCUUCUUCCUUUAAAGUGUUUUGAAGGUUAGAGAUAAUAAAGAUGCUUCUUAACUAUAACAUAUAAAAGAAGAAGUUGGGAUAAUUGUUAGGGGGUCUCAGACAAAGAAAAGAUAAGACAUGAUUGUUAGGGGGUCUCAAAGGGGACGGACAAGAAUUAAGUAGUGUACUAGUGAUAGUAAUAGCAAUGCAAUGAGUAAGUGUUUGAUCGGGAAAGGCUAUAGAGUCAGGAGUUGGGCUGGUGUCAACCAGAGAAUGAAGUACUAUACUAGUGAUAGUAAUAGCAAUGCAUUUUAUGGGGAAAGGCUAUAGAGUCAGGAGUUCAAUUACUAAAUGACAUGAGAGGAGGUGCACACUCCGUUCUUAAUACAUACCCCAUAUCUUAAAGCAAGGGGGUGCUUUAGUGAGUUGGGAGAAACAAGCAAGCAGGGGGGAAUAUCUAAGCUAUGAAUUAACAUCUUUCAAGUUUGAUUAUUUGCUUCUCCUCUCCUAUUACAACAUUCGAUACUAGAGUAACUAUCUAGAUUCUAUAAAUUCCAUUCCAUUCUAUCAAAAAGAACUAACUCAAAUUGGGAUUCGCCUUUCUUACAAAUGAUUAAACAAGAACUUUAUGAAUCACUCACUCUCGAUUCUCCUCUUUGAAUUGAAUCCAUUGAAGCAUACGAUAGACUCAAUCUACAGUAACAAUACUUCUAACUCUAUACCGACACUCUUAAUUGCUAACGAAUAAAUAACGUUAGAAAGUAAGUCCAUCCAGUUUUGAAACCUUAAACAAAUAACGGCGAAAGCAGGAUGCCAAAGGUUGUCUUACAAGAGUAAUGUUAGCAUAAAAUCUAUAAUAUGCUAUAUUAAAUGCAUAAACAAUCUUUUAUGUCACGAUUGAAAUCAAAUAAAAUUAGAUAUGAUUUUACGAUACAUACCUUUAGAUGUCAUCUGAAAAAAAAUCUCUCUGUGAUCUGCAAAGGCACCAUUUUUAGAUCCAAGAUCAUUGUCGAUCUGCGAAGAGAACUAAAUCCUUUCCUCUCUUCCUAUCCUUUUACAGGAUCUAGAGAUCUUAGCUAUUUAUAUAUAAGAGCAGAGGGUUUAGAAUAAAUUAUUAGGAGACUUCCUCCCAUGAAGGGUAUCCCCUAAGGAAUCUUAUUUUAAUAUGGAUUUCUUUUCUAUUGGGUAAUAUAUGUCAUCAGAAUCCAAUUAAUUACGUUAUAUAUCUUAUCCAAUUAUAAAGGACCAUAAAAUCCAACAAGUAAUUCAAUCUAUUCAUCAUUAUAUAUUGUGCAUAGAACAUAAGAAAGUUACUACCUAACUACAACAAGCAUGUGUGACUUGACACAAUCUUUUUGUUUAUUAUAUUUUAAUAUUUAUAAUUUUAUAUUAUUUGUUAUAUAUAUAUAUAUAUAUAUAUAUAUAUAUUGUGAUGUCUUUGGAUCUGUGUAAUGGAAAUCGGAUAGUGAUAAGAUCACGAUAAUGAAACCGAUUCACUUUUAAACACGUAUCUCUAAUCUUAAAACUACUUUCCAAACGGUUGUUACAUCAUAUAGAAGAAGACAAGCCUUGCGUUCUUCCUCGUGCACAUCAACCGGUCAUAUAGAAUAACCCUUUCAAAUUUAAUGAUAUCGGUUACUCAUAUAGAAGAAGAUGAGCCCCGGCGGUAAGCCUUGCGUUCAAACAAGGAACGUGGAAGCGCAACGCUACCAUCGAAGGAUGACGAGGAGGUGUUCCGCACGCCGACCUCCGUAGAGAGUAAGCUGCCAUCUGUUGCACCGAGCUGCUCGCCCGAGCCGAGGAAGACGAGGCGGGUGUUGAAGUGCGAGCGGAAGCUAUGGCUGGGACCGGAGAAGGGCAGCUGCUCGGAAAGAAGAGGUGUGUUAGCAGCACAGCUGAUUGAUGUGUUUCGUUCACAGUCAUCUCUUCUUUCUUCCUUCUGCAGCGGUUGUGCUUUGGUAUGUAUUUACGUCGCAGCAUUGAGAUCAUGUUGGCGUUGUUUCAUAGAGAAUUGAUAGAGAAGAGAGGUUGGUUUUGUUUGAGUGUAGGAUUUUUGAUCGAAUUCUUUGUUGUUGUUGUUUUAUUGCAGUAAUUGGUGGCAAAAUGUUAGAUCAUAUUUUACUUCAAAAAACAAAUAUUAUAAAAAAAUAAUAGUAUAUUAUAUCUCUAAUAAUAAAUUAGGAAUGUUGGAAUUAUAUAUCUACAAGUGCGAUUAUCAUCACUUUUGAUCCAUCAAAUUAUAAAGAUAUAAUCAAUUUCGAAAAUAUUAAAAAUAUAAAAUUUAUAGGUAAAAUUUAAUAUAAGAAAAAUUAAUUAUGAUAUUAUUUGUUAUAACAAUCUAUUAGGACCUGGGAACUUGUUCAUUAUAAAAUUACCUAUAUCAUGACACAAGUCAAAGAAAAAGUAAUAUUAUCUUUGUCGUCGAAUAAGCUUGUUAAAGUGAUAUAUUUAUUAGGACACAAGGAUGGAUGUAUCCAUCUAUAAUAAUUUAUAUUUAAAUAUUUUAGGUCAUGUGGUAUGCAUCUUCAUCCUAAUUUAAAUAGUAUAUCUUUAAAAUUAAUUUCUAAUUUAAAAUGUGCAAUAGAACUAAAGAUCUCUUUUAGGUGAUUAUUUGGAAGGUAAUUUAUUUCAUAAAUACUAUUAAAAAAAUUUUACCAAAAUUUAUAUUGUUAGAUAUCUCACAAAAGAUACAGUCCACUAUGCAUACACAACAUGCAAAUGCACAUAAUGACUAUAAAUACAAAGGUGGCUUAUGCUAUACAUCUUAUAGUGCAAACAUGUUUUGAUCAACUUGAUAUGAUCUUUGAGUAAAAUUAUCCGAGGUAUUUUGGAUGUGGAAACAUUCUACUCUCAAAGUGUCACUUGUAUGAAGACUAAGAUCAAGAAAGGUUUUUCGACUCAGAUCCCUUUAAUACUCAAGUUGCUAAACCAAAGUCUCUCAAAUAUGGGUUCGAAUCGUUCUAAAAGAGAAUCCUCCCUACUAUUCAGAAUAUAUAUUUUUACCUUAAAAAGAUAAGGAUGAAGCUUAGGAUUAACUUCAUUAUUAUAAGAUGAGAAAGAAAUUUGUGAUAGUAUUCCUUGUCAUAAUAAAUGAGAAGAAAAUUUAUGUUUAUCUAUUUUGAAUUUUCGUCUACAUAGACAAAUAGAUAUAGGGUGACUUGGAUCACACAUAACGACUACAUAUUAGUUAACAGUAGACUCCGUAACAAAAUGCACAAAGGGACAUAUAAUGUAUUUGAGUGUUUACUAUAAUAAAAAUUAGCUAUAACGAAUAAAUAAUGAGAUCAUGUGUUUCAUGUAAUAAAACUUAUUAGUAUUAAUGACAUUGAGAAUAUAUUUGAACAAUUGAUAGUUAAAUGAUAUAUUAGCAUGUUUAAUGCUUUCACAACACUAAACCCUAAUUCUUAUUAAUAAUAUUGACUUUCAACUUUCGGAUUGAGAAUUUAUUUGCAACCAAAUAUGUAAUUGAUAAAUUAUAAAUUAGUUAUAUUUUAUUUGUACAACCAUGUGUUAUGUUUACAUAGUUUAUUCAAACACUCCCAUAUAACUUUAGAUUAACCAAUAUGUUAACUCGAUUAUUAUUUGUUAUAAUUUUUUUUUUUAAUUGAGUACUUGAAGGAAAAAUUACCCAUGUCAAGACAAAAGACUUAAAAAGACCUAAGUGUUGCACAUCCAAGAGCAGCAUAAAUAUAAUUAUCUUUGUUGUCAAAUUAACUUAUUAUUUUUUAUAAUUCUUAUGAAAUAUAUAGCAUCCCCAAUAGAUCCCACAUCCAAGGCAAUAUCAUAUAUAUGACAUUAUAGAGAAAUAGUUGGAUCCAUCGAUCCUAACUUUGGUUUUGUGAAUCCUAACCUAAUUAGCAUAUUUUUUAAAAUUAUUUUUCUAUGUAAUGGAUCUAAAGAUCUCUUUUAGUGAAUCCUAAAUUUUUAUUUGGAAGGAAACUAUGUCAUGAAUAUCAUAGAAAAUUUUCUACCAUAAUUUAUAUUUUUAGAUAUCCAAUAAAAGUACACUCUUAAGCUUGUAGGCAUACAAAUGCAUCUAAUUACUCUAUAAAUAUAAUGCCAACUUCUAUCCUAUCCCAAUAGUACAAUAAUUUAUCUUUCUCUCUCUCCAUGUACAAGUAUAAUAAGAUAGUUAGGUUUUUGGAGAUAUGUAUAUAUAUUUUUUAUGGAAGUUUUGGGAUCGAACUCUGAACCUCAUGCUCACAUAUUUAGUACGAGAAAAUUAAGACAUGCGGUUCAAGUUCAAUCCUUGACUUUCCAUAAGAAAAAAAGAUAGAGAGAAUGUGAAUUAUCUAUCGAUUUGCAGCAGAUAAAACUAUCCAUAAAGGUGCAAGGCUUGUGAGUCCUCUCUUUUCUUUUCCUUAAUAGCUAUCUUUUUCUUUUUAAUGUUCACUAUGUUAUAAUUAUUAUUUUUUAUCUUAUCAAUGUCUCACAAGAAGAAAAAAAAAAAAAAGAGAGAGAUAAAAAUCAGCAUAGAUAUCAGUUUUGAUAUUUAUCCCUUUAAUUGUAACUUUUAAUAUUCUGGACCAUAAAUAUGAUUUAUACAUAUAAAUAUGAUUUACUUGCAACAUUUGCAUCAAGAUUCUUUUACAGUGAUUUAUAUUUGAUCAAUUGUAAUAUAUAUAUAUAUAUAUAUAUAUAUAUAUAUAUAUAUAUAUAUAUAUAUAUAUAUAUNNNNNNNNNNNNNNNNNNNNAUUAGUAUAUUAUAUAUAUAUAUAUAUAUAUAUAUAUAUAUAUAUAUAUAUAUAUAUAUAUAUAUAUAUAUAUAUAUAUGUCAUAAUUAUAUAACCAUGUUUAGCAUUUAGUCUAUUAUAUUAUAUGUUAUAAAUAACUUUUUUAUCUCUUGCACUGCAUAUAUCUCAUGAAAGAUAAUUUGAGUGUAGCCAAUAAUUUUGUUUAUGUUUAUCUCUAUCAUAUGGUAUGUAUGUAUAUCAUUCGAAACUUAUACCUCAUGGUGAUUGGUUGUUAAAAUAGUGAUGAUGAAACUCAAAUUGGUACUAAUAUCUUAUGUAAAGAUAUUGUUAAUAUUAUGAUUUAGAGCUAUUACGAUUGAUAAGUAUUUGAAUAUCAUAUGAUUGAUACCCUAAUUGAUAAGUACUACCAUUUAGAGAUAUUAUGGUUGAUAAGUAUUAUGAUUUAGAGCUAUUUUUAAUAUCUCUAUCAUUAUGGUAUGUAUGUAUGUACAUAUGUAUACCCUUCAAAACUUAUACCUCGUGGUGAUUGGUUGUUAAAAUAGUGAUGAUGAAAUUCAAAUUGAUACUCAGAAAAGCUUUAGAGCUAUUAUGAUUGAUAAGUAUUUUUAGAGUUCUAAUAGGAAUUAAAUUGCUUCCUGAUAACAUUAUUUAGAGAUUAGAAAUUGAUCCUUAGUCUUAUUUUGAUGCUUUUCUAUUGCUGAUCACAAUAUAUUAAUUCAUUUAAAAACUUUACACUUCUAUGUUAGUUUGAAAAAAUAAAUAUUUUUUUUCCGACAAAAGAGAAACCAUAUUACCUAAAAAAUGAGUAAUUAUUAUCUACAGCAUCAAAGAGAACCAAAUCACAAAAUUUGCCAAUCAAUUGGCAAAUUUUAAAAUGCCAUAUAUCGUAUUCAAAAAGUUGUACAUUAAUUCAAGCCUCUCUAUAUGCAAAUUAUAAAACGUUGGAAGUGAUAUUUCAAUUCCAUGAAAUUAUAGUUUUCUUCGUUUCAAGAAUACAUAUAAAAUUAUCCAAUUUCUAUUUCCUUUCAUUUGAACAAUUUUACAAUUUCUUAUGCAGAUUUAUUUUAGGAAUAAAAACGAUUGAUUUUUUUUUGUUACGAAUCUAUUUGAUUCACUUAAAUCGAUUUCAUGUUCAAAUAUCUAAGAAAUACUUGAAGGGCAAGUUAAUUACAAGAAAAUGACAUUGGAUCCAUUUUUUUGAAUAUAUAUAUAUAUAUAUAUAUUUAUUUAUUUGAAUAAAUUCAGAGAUUCUAAUAAUAAUUAUAUUACACAGCUGUGAAUGGAUAAAUAUUAUGUGCUGGGAAUUGUUGUUGGCCCAAAAAAAAAAAGUGACAUUUGAUUCAUUAACACUAAUAUCAUGCGAUCAAAAACUACUUACACCUUUCUAAAAUUUAUCUAUAAUAAUUCUUAUGAAGAACAAAAAAAAAAAAAACUCUCUCAAAUCACAUCAUAAAUAAGUUUAUGUUAACUAUAAAAAUUUUGACAAUUUAUUAAGAAGUCAUUCAUGAGCUUAAAACCUAUCUUCAUCACUUACCCAACAAUGCAAUCGUUUAUCUAUCCCUAUCCUAGAAAAGGACUUCACACCCUCACCCAACAUUUCUCCUUCAUGCACCAAGUCCC
Molecule: long non-coding RNA, 7372 nt
Filed under: Musa acuminata (dwarf banana)
Lineage: Eukaryota; Viridiplantae; Streptophyta; Magnoliopsida; Zingiberales; Musaceae
Description: long non-coding RNA (MACU_LNC005905)
Source: RNAcentral